This 404-nucleotide ribosomal RNA is filed under the name uncultured Mucor. RNAcentral's name for it is "partial small subunit ribosomal RNA". It matches the Rfam family "Eukaryotic small subunit ribosomal RNA", at positions 30 to 432 of the family's 1831-position model. The record is from RNAcentral. Lineage: Eukaryota; Fungi; Mucoromycota; Mucoromycetes; Mucorales; Mucoraceae.
GCUUGUCUCAAAGAUUAAGCCAUGCAUGUCUAUGUAUAAACAAGUAUACUGUGAAACUGCGAAUGGCUCAUUAAAUCAGUUAUAGUUUAUUUGAUAGUACCUUACUACUUGGAUAACCGUGGUAAUUCUAGAGCUAAUACAUGCUAAAAAACCCAGACUUACGAAUGGGUGCACUUAUUAGAUAAAGCCAACGCUGGGUAAAACCAGUUUCCCUUGGUGAUUCAUAAUAAUUAAGCGGAUCGCAUGGCCUUGUGCUAGCGACAGUCCACUCGAUUUUCUGCCCUAUCAUGGUUGAGAUUGUAAGAUAGAGGCUUACAAUGCCUACAACGGGUAACGGGGAAUUAGGGUUCGAUUCCGGAGAGGGAGCCUGAGAAACGGCUACCACAUCCAAGGAAGGCAGCAGG